RNAcentral lists this ribosomal RNA (1896 nucleotides) under Stigonema lichenoides SYKO 01017A. RNAcentral describes it as "bacterial SSU rRNA". The stretch from base 1 to 1401 matches the Rfam family "Bacterial small subunit ribosomal RNA". The record is from RNAcentral. Lineage: Bacteria; Bacillati; Cyanobacteriota; Cyanophyceae; Nostocales; Stigonemataceae.
CGGGGGGGUGAUAACGCGUGAGAAUCUGCCUUCAGGUCGGGGACAACCACUGGAAACGGUGGCUAAUACCGGAUAUACCUAACAGUGAAAGAUUUAUUGCCUGAAGAGGAGCUCGCGUCUGAUUAGCUAGUUGGUGGGGUAAAAGCCUACCAAGGCGACGAUCAGUAGCUGGUCUGAGAGGACGAUCAGCCACACUGGAACUGAGACACGGUCCAGACUCCUACGGGAGGCAGCAGUGGGGAAUUUUCCGCAAUGGGCGAAAGCCUGACGGAGCAAUACCGCGUGAGGGAGGAAGGCUCUUGGGUUGUAAACCUCUUUUCUCAGGGAAGAACAAAAUGACGGUACCUGAGGAAUCAGCAUCGGCUAACUCCGUGCCAGCAGCCGCGGUAAUACGGAGGAUGCAAGCGUUAUCCGGAAUGAUUGGGCGUAAAGCGUCCGCAGGUGGCAUUGAAAGUCUGCUGUCAAAGAGUCUGGCUCAACCAGAUAAAGGCAGUGGAAACUACAAAGCUAGAGUACGUUCGGGGCAGAGGGAAUUCCUGGUGUAGCGGUGAAAUGCGUAGAGAUCAGGAAGAACACCGGUGGCGAAAGCGCUCUGCUAGGCCGUAACUGACACUGAGGGACGAAAGCUAGGGGAGCGAAUGGGAUUAGAUACCCCAGUAGGCCUAGCCGUAAACGAUGGAUACUAGGUGUUGCUUGUAUCGACCCGAGCAGUACCGUAGCUAACGCGUUAAGUAUCCCGCCUGGGGAGUACGCAGGCAACUGUGAAACUCAAAGGAAUUGACGGGGGCCCGCACAAGCGGUGGAGUAUGUGGUUUAAUUCGAUGCAACGCGAAGAACCUUACCAGGGCUUGACAUGUCGCGAAUCCUUGUGAAAGCAGGGAGUGCCUUCGGGAGCGCGAACACAGGUGGUGCAUGGCUGUCGUCAGCUCGUGUCGUGAGAUGUUGGGUUAAGUCCCGCAACGAGCGCAACCCUCGUUUUUAGUUGCCAUCAUUAAGUUGGGCACUCUAGAGAGACUGCCGGUGACAAACCGGAGGAAGGUGGGGAUGACGUCAAGUCAGCAUGCCCCUUACGUCUUGGGGUACACACGUAUUACAAUGUUAUGAACAGAGGGCAGCUAACCAGCGAUAGCAAGCUAAUCCCGGAAAUCGUAGCUCAGUUCAGAUCGCAGGGUGCAACUCGCCUGCGUGAAGUUGGAAUCGCUAGUAAUUGCAGGUCAGCAUAUUGCAGUGAAUUCGUUCCCGGGCCUUGUACACACCGCCCGUCACACCAUGGAAGCUGGUAGUGCCCGAAGUCAUUACCCCAACCUUUCGGGGAGGGGGAUGCCUAAGGCAGGACUGGUGACUGGGGUGAAGUCGUAACAAGGUAGCCGUACCGGAAGGUGUGGCUGGAUCACCUCCUUUUAGGGAGACCUACCCCAUCUACAUACCGAAACAAAUUUUUUUAUUAGGUAUAAAUGUGGUCACGCAAGGUCGGUCAAGAUUGGUUAAAAGCUUUCAAACUAUGAUUGGUUCGCUUAAAACUGAUUUUUCUCAGUGCACUUAGUUUCCGAAGAUAGUAAAUGUUUUCGUUCGCUAACUGUACUGGCUGAGUCGGUAAAAUGAAGACCAAAAAGAGAUUUACUUCAGCAACAUGACGCAUACUCGUCAGACUGCUGGGUAAGAAUCCAGCCAGAACCUUGAAAACUGCAUAGAAACGCGAUAAUUGUGAUUUUGCUAAAAACUAAUAUGUAAACGUCAACUACCAAACCGCUAUUAACAAUUAACAUUCUGUGUGCUCGCGAAAAUAGGGUCUAGUGGUAUACCCCUGCGCACACAGAGACCAUUCACUGUGGUCUAGCGAAUAUCGUUGUGUGGUGGAUACCUAGGCCCACAGAGAGAUACCUAGGCACACAGAGA